GCAGGUACGCGGAGCGUAGCAAAUUCUUCACGACACCCCGAUCGAGACUCUGGAGCGCAGAGACGGCAGAGAGCACAGUAGCCAAGCGACUGGAGACUCAUCACUGGAGACUGGAGAGCAUCCGGAGCCAGUGCUCGCACCACCGCUCCCGAUUCCCAAUCGCCUUCCCGCCGCCGAAGGGGCGCCGCACUGUCCCCCGGCCUCGAUCUCUCUCGGGCCAGCCGUCGGCCGUGGCCCUGCGCCUCCUGCGUUAUCUGGCUGGAGAUCCGGCCGGAGUGCCAUUCCUACUCUCGGUCAAUAAGUAUUCUGGAAUGUUUUUCCGAGCUGAAAUAGAUAGCUUCUGGAGCUGGAUCUCAGUAUUCUGUUAGGGACAUGCUCCAACCGAGGGAAGCUGAUUUGCCUGCACUCUUUCUUGUCUUCAUUGUACUUCCUGUGGUAGCUUAUUUUCUUCUCGGGAGAUGGCAUGAUGCUGCAAGUAAGAAGGCAAGGGUAAGUGUGCUUGCUCAGCGAGCUGCAGAAGAAGCCUAUAGAGAGGAAACAAUGGCGUGCCCAGACAUUAUUCUGCCAGGGUCUUCCUUGAGAACUAUGCCCUAUUUCAGACCUAUGCCUGCAUUAAGACAGGAAUACCAUGAAUGUGCAACUUGCCAUGCCCCUGCAAAGACUCGUUGCUCCAGAUGCAAGGCUGUUAGAUAUUGCUCUGGGAAGUGUCAAAUAGUACACUGGAGGCAAGGACAUAAGGAAACAUGCCAAAAGUGGCUUGGUAGUGGUUCUAGCAGCUUUGGUGGAUCUAGCACUGAGGCUACUGAACAGAUGCCGUUCUUGACUAACUUAAAUUCACCUCUUCCGGGUGGUGACAUUCACUUGCGUGACUUGAACUUCGAUACUUUAUCAGAACCAUCCUUUCCCACAACUGAUGGUUAUAAUCUAGAUACUGAUCCAUUUUUGGCAGACAGAAGCAACAUGAAUAAAUCAAAUCAAGGUAUUCAUAUGAGCGAAAAUGGUGCUGUUGGUGUAUCUUUUGAAAAGAAUAAUUAUAAUGCUGAUGAUGAAAUCCACUCACCGGAAAAUUUAUCUAGAAACAAGGUGUCAAACAACUAUUUUGGUUCAGAUGCAAUAAGUGGUAAUGGGGAUGCAAUUUAUCCUGCCAAAAGUAAUGCACAGCAGCCUAGCAGCUGUGCUCCUGACAUGAGAAAACAGCCAAAAGCAAGCAUCACAGUUUAUCAGCCUGACAUAGGUGUCUAUUUAACUUCUGACAUGGUCAGUUCUUGUGAGGGGUCAUAUGCUUCUGCCAGUGAGCCACUGCAAAGGAGCUUGUCAUCUGGAAGAACUAUUGGGAAAGCAAACGCGGUGAAUAAGAGGCCUCCAUACCCAUCAAGUAAGGUGGUUUCAGCACAAAAGCCACAGGAUAGGGUGUCUACAUCAUAUCAAAAUGAUGGCCAUGAGAAGAAUCCUUGCAACAAAAAUGACCAAAGAUCUACCCCCAAAUGUGAAUCAAGUCAAUCAACAAGCAGCAAUCUACAAAAGUUUGGAGCAUCCAAGGUUGAAGUUUUAAAGAAGCCUUCAAAAUUUCUCAAAACCAGCCUUGUGGGAUUGAUCAAUGAUAAUAAGAGGAACAAGGUAUUGUUCCCAUAUGAAGAUCUUGUCAAGUUUUUUCAGUAUGAAGCCCGGGGUAUUUCCCCUAGAGGUCUUUUCAAUUGUGGAAACAGCUGCUAUGCUAAUGCUGUUCUUCAAUGUCUCAUGUGCACAAAGCCACUGAUGAUCUACCUUCUUCUGAGAUUGCAUUCUAAAGAUUGUUCUUCAAAAAAAUGGUGCCUUAUGUGUGAACUUGAGCAAUAUGCUUCAACUUUACGUGAAAGUGGUGGGCCCUUAUCUCCAAGUAGAAUUCUUUCUAAUCUGAGGAAUAUUGGAUGUCGCUUGGGUGGUGGAACUCAGGAAGAUGCUCAUGAGUUUUUAAGGCAUCUUGUGAUGUCUAUGCAAGCAGCUUGCUUGGAUGGGCUGGGUGGUGAGAAGCAUGUUGAGCCAAGUUUGCAGGAAACAACACUGAUACAACAGAUGUUUGGUGGCCGUCUUAAAUCCAAGGUUAAGUGCCUCAGAUGUUAUCACGAGUCUGAACGAUAUGAGAAUAUAAUGGAUCUUACUUUGGAGAUUCACGGCUGGGUAGAGUCCUUGCAGGAUGCUUUGACACAGUUCACUGCCCCUGAAGAUUUAGAUGGUGAUAAUAUGUAUAAAUGUGGAAGUUGUGCUGCCUAUGUUAAAGCCAGGAAGCAACUGAGCGUGCAUGAGGUGCCAAACAUAUUAACAGUUGUUCUUAAAAGAUUUCAGUCAGGAAAAUAUGGCAAGAUCAACAAAUGUGUUACUUUCCCUGAUAUGUUGGACAUGGUUCCUUUUGUGACUGGGUCUGGUGACAAUCCCCCUCUUUAUUUCUUGUAUGCCGUGGUUGUACAUGUGGAUACAGAAAAUGCAUCAUUCUCUGGGCACUAUAUAUCAUAUGUCAAAGAUAUGCAGGGUACAUGGUUGAGAAUUGAUGAUUCAGAGGUCCAGGUUGUAUCAGUGAAUCAAGUUAUGUCAGAAGGUGCAUAUAUGCUUUUCUACAUGAGGUCUUUCCCCCGACCACCAAGAAUAUACAUCGAGAAGGGGCCGACUGUUCCAUCCGCGAAGCGCCACACAUCAAAGUAUUCCAAGGGCUCUAAACACGAGCGCGAGCAGACAGAGUUACUCCUCUCGGCGAACGAUCCAGCAUACGGUGUUUAUGACUUUAGACCUGAUGGCGAGGGCUACACGCAAGAUCAGCAAGCAGAGUUGAGAUCCAGGGAUUUCCAUCGCGCCGACGAUGCCUUCGCAGACUCGGUCAGCGCGGACUUCUCGGAGGCCACGUCAAGCGAAUGGUCGCUGUUUACCAGCUCCGACGAGUCCUCAUUCACCACCGAGAGCACAAGGGACUCGUUCAGCGUUGUGGACUACGGCGACAACGCUGGCCUGGACCCAAUCUCCUCGAUAUUUGGGCCAAGCUAUGCUCCGGAGCAUCAUCCCGGUCCACCUGGCAGUUUCGCCGCGUGCACGAGGCUCUCGCCUUCCAACCCACAGACAAGGUACUUCUCGGAGAGCACAGGGUUCGUCUCGGACUACUCUUCCAGCGGCAUUGUACAUAGAGGAAGGGAUCCAGGUAGGGCAUACACCUGUUCAGCGGAACCGCUCGCUUCGGCUGCGGCGGCGCACCAGCACCAGCGGUACGCCCUUAGCGGCCGAGACGGUUUGGUCCAGACAUCUGGGUUCUGCCAAAUGUAACCGGCUUUACGAUUUCGUAGCUAUAGCUGUAGCUGGUGCUCGGGCAGCUGCGGUUUAGCACUGCCACUGAUGCUGCUGCCUCUAUGUUCUUUUUAUUUCAGGUGAAAUUUUAGAGCGCGGUGGAGCUGCUCCGGUUGAAGCCAUCCCCCGAGGCCCGAACCAGUAAAUUACGCCGAAUCCGGCAGUCGUAUGGCCCUGCACACCAGUGCUUUGUGAAAAGCUUGCAGAUUCAUCAAUUGACGUGCACUUGCCUUUUAUAUGGACGCUGACGUAUGGAGGUGCACACUCUCCACCUCCGUAUAUCUCGCCACCUACUCUGUUUAUAUUAGAAGGUUGAUUGCUGACACACAACACCUGCUCGUACUUUUUUGUCGAAAUCAUGACGGACAACAACGCUAAACAUAUAGUACAA
Zea mays is the source of this 3697-nucleotide RNA transcript. It is a transcript of the gene named ubiquitin carboxyl-terminal hydrolase 15, with no coding region annotated. Lineage: Eukaryota; Viridiplantae; Streptophyta; Magnoliopsida; Poales; Poaceae. The record is from RefSeq and is a predicted model, not a curated record. The transcript is spliced from 15 exons.